RNAcentral lists this small nuclear RNA (106 nucleotides) under Homarus americanus (American lobster). The record is from RNAcentral. Lineage: Eukaryota; Metazoa; Arthropoda; Malacostraca; Decapoda; Nephropidae.
GUAUUGCUUCGGCUGUACAUAUACUAAAGUUGGAACGAUACAGAGAAGAUUGACUUGGCCCCUGCGCAAGGAUGACACACAAAAUCGUGAAGCGUUCCACAUUUUU